This 1340-nucleotide ribosomal RNA is filed under the name Paenibacillus sp. VMFN-D1. RNAcentral describes it as "bacterial LSU rRNA". It matches the Rfam family "Bacterial large subunit ribosomal RNA", at positions 1579 to 2925 of the family's 2925-position model. The record is from RNAcentral. Lineage: Bacteria; Bacillati; Bacillota; Bacilli; Caryophanales; Paenibacillaceae.
AUAGUACCGAAGGUCAUGAUCUCACACUGCCAAGAAAAGCCUCUAACCAGGUGAAGGUGCCCGUACCGCAAACCGACACAGGUAGGCGAGAAGAGAAUUCUAAGGCGCGCGGAAGAACUCUCGUUAAGGAACUCGGCAAAAUGACCCCGUAACUUCGGGAGAAGGGGUGCCCCGGUAGUGUGAAUAGCACGAGGGGGCCGCAGUGAAAAGGCCCAAGCGACUGUUUAGCAAAAACACAGGUCUGUGCGAAGCCGCAAGGCGAAGUAUACGGGCUGACGCCUGCCCGGUGCUGGAAGGUUAAGGGGAGCGGUUAGGGGUUUACCCCGAAGCUGUGAACCGAAGCCCCAGUAAACGGCGGCCGUAACUAUAACGGUCCUAAGGUAGCGAAAUUCCUUGUCAGGUAAAUUCUGACCCGCACGAAUGGCGUAACGACUUGGGCGCUGUCUCAACGAGAGAUCCGGUGAAAUUUUAAUACCUGUGAAGAUGCAGGUUACCCGCGACAAGACGGAAAGACCCCAUGGAGCUUUACUGCAGCUUGAUAUUGGAUUUGGGUACGAUCUGUACAGGAUAGGUGGGAGCCUUUGAAACCUGAGCGCCAGCUUGGGUGGAGGCGCCGUUGGGAUACCACCCUGAUCGUAUCUAGGUUCUAACCUGGUACCGUAAUCCGGUAUGGGGACAGUGUCAGGUGGGCAGUUUGACUGGGGCGGUCGCCUCCUAAAGAGUAACGGAGGCGCCCCAAGGUUCCCUCAGAAUGGUUGGAAAUCAUUCGAAGAGUGCAAAGGCAGAAGGGAGCUUGACUGCGAGACCUACAAGUCGAGCAGGGACGAAAGUCGGGCUUAGUGAUCCGGUGGUACCGCAUGGAAGGGCCAUCGCUCAACGGAUAAAAGCUACCCUGGGGAUAACAGGCUUAUCUCCCCCAAGAGUCCACAUCGACGGGGAGGUUUGGCACCUCGAUGUCGGCUCAUCGCAUCCUGGGGCUGAAGUAGGUCCCAAGGGUUGGGCUGUUCGCCCAUUAAAGCGGUACGCGAGCUGGGUUCAGAACGUCGUGAGACAGUUCGGUCCCUAUCUGUCGUGGGCGUAGGAAAUUUGAGAGGAGCUGUCCUUAGUACGAGAGGACCGGGAUGGACGUACCGCUGGUGCACCAGUUGUUCCGCCAGGAGCAUGGCUGGGUAGCUACGUACGGACGGGAUAAGCGCUGAAAGCAUCUAAGCGUGAAGCCCCCCUCAAGAUGAGAUUUCCCAGUAUGUAAGACCCCUUGUAGACGACGAGGUAGAUAGGUUGGAGGUGGAAGUGCAGCAAUGCAUGGAGCUGACCAAUACUAAUCGGUCGAGGGCUUAUCC